UACGAAGGGGGGCUAGCGUUGCUCGGAAUCACUGGGCGUAAAGCGCACGUAGGCGGAUCUUUAAGUCAGGGGUGAAAUCCUGGAGCUCAACUCCAGAACUGCCUUUGAUACUGAGGAUCUUGAGUCCGGGAGAGGUGAGUGGAACUCCGAGUGUAGAGGUGAAAUUCGUAGAUAUUCGGAAGAACACCAGUGGCGAAGGCGGCUCACUGGCCCGGUACUGACGCUGAGGUGCGAAAGCGUGGGGAGCAAACAGG
RNAcentral lists this ribosomal RNA (254 nucleotides) under uncultured bacterium. RNAcentral describes it as "partial 16S ribosomal RNA". It matches the Rfam family "Bacterial small subunit ribosomal RNA", at positions 524 to 776 of the family's 1533-position model. The record is from RNAcentral.